AUUGUUUCUACAUGACACCUGCACGAUGUAAUCAAUUAAUUGCUACAGUUUCUGAACAAGACCUCGUCUGUUUCAUUUUCCUUAAAUUGAACACAAGGUGGGAAACGUUCCGCACCCUUUUUCGCACCAGUGGCUGCAGACCACGGGAGCAACAACCAGCAGCAGCUCCGUCGUAACUGCACCGAGAAAAGCCACUGAUUUCAUAUGGAAGAACUUUCGGUGAACGGCUCGCGUCGACCGGCGUCGUCCAAUGAAGACGUGCAGAGUGGAAACGAAGCGCUUUGAUUGGCUGCCACGACUCGGUCGCUUUCCGUCCGAGGGAGUUGCCUCAAAACUUUUUUUCGAGAGAGAGGGAGAGAGAGAAAGAGAGAGGUAGAGAGAGAGAGAGAGAGAGAGAGAGAGAGAGAGUGCAUCCCUUGCGCUCGCCGACUCAGAAGAGGGCAGCGCACAAGCGCAGAGACGGAGUCAGAGGGCUGGGAGAACGAACGCAGGAGGGGUGUCCCAUCCACGAAGUGUCCCUGGAGGAACUCAGCCUGCAAACUUAUUUAAGUUAUGGCUGCAUGAAAUAAGCCUUUUUUUUUUGGUUACUUUUUUUUUCUCUCUUCUGGGAUCUUGGGCACGAGCUGUGCCUGAUCACACGUUGCGAUACAUUAUUAUACAGACAAAGCAGUACUUUUUAACGCUUGCCGUGGACGGCACUCGGUGGCCAUGGAUACCGAUAUAAGAUGGAAAAUAAAACGGUGGAUAACGUCUCUGCACAUCACUUUAUCAGUAGUUCUUCUGUGUGUCACUUCGAAUGUCAGCUCAGUCUCGUGCCUCUCCAUCUUAGGAGGGAUCUUGGGACACCCGCCCCCCCCAACAUUACUCUACAUUCUCCACUUCUCAAUGAAAGAUACACUACUUAGAAGAAGGCAUUUCCCAUUGUUGUCGCGA
RNAcentral lists this long non-coding RNA (933 nucleotides) under Scleropages formosus (Asian bonytongue). RNAcentral describes it as "lncRNA (ENSSFOG00015033346.1)". Lineage: Eukaryota; Metazoa; Chordata; Actinopteri; Osteoglossiformes; Osteoglossidae. The record is from RNAcentral.